This 72-nucleotide transfer RNA is filed under the name Camelus bactrianus (Bactrian camel). It matches the Rfam family "tRNA". Rfam says of the family: Transfer RNA (tRNA) molecules are approximately 80 nucleotides in length. Their secondary structure includes four short double-helical elements and three loops (D, anti-codon, and T loops). Further hydrogen bonds mediate the characteristic L-shaped molecular structure. tRNAs have two regions of fundamental functional importance: the anti-codon, which is responsible for specific mRNA codon recognition, and the 3' end, to which the tRNAs corresponding amino acid is attached (by aminoacyl-tRNA synthetases). tRNAs cope with the degeneracy of the genetic code in two manners: having more than one tRNA (with a specific anti-codon) for a particular amino acid; and 'wobble' base-pairing, i.e. permitting non-standard base-pairing at the 3rd anti-codon position. The record is from Rfam by way of RNAcentral. Lineage: Eukaryota; Metazoa; Chordata; Mammalia; Artiodactyla; Camelidae. RNAcentral also lists the same sequence under 2 other names.
GAGGGUAUAGUUCAGUGGUAGAGUGCAUGCUUAGCAUGCACGAGGUCCUGGGUUCAAGCCCCAGUACCUCUG